RNA transcript from Benincasa hispida (wax gourd), 831 nucleotides. RefSeq lists it as uncharacterized. The record is from RefSeq and is a predicted model, not a curated record. Lineage: Eukaryota; Viridiplantae; Streptophyta; Magnoliopsida; Cucurbitales; Cucurbitaceae.
AAAAAAAAAAAAAAAAACCCACCAACACUCUCCUUCUUCUUCCUCAAACGGCAAAACCUCCCCAAUUUUUUCUUCUUCUUUCCUCCCAAACCCACAAAUGUCGUUUCCCUCACUGCCCAGUAUUCGCUGUCGUGUCUCCCUCGCUACCAUUCCGAAUGACGUGCGCCUCCCUCACCCCCAUUCAGAUUCGAACGUCGUGCUUCCUUCACUGUCUCAUCAGACUCGCCGCCGCGUGAGAGAGAUUCCUCAUAAAUCGCAGCACCUCAUCAGCUCAGAUCUGUCUAGCUGUCGUUCCCUCGCACCUCACCGACUCAGAUUCGACCAGCUACCGCUUCUUCACACUUCGCCAGACCCAAAACCGUCGCCGUCGGACCUGUUCUAGGUGAGUUUUAGUGAAACUUGGAAUUUAGAGGGAGCACCGUUAAGGGAAAUUGGAAGUGACCUUCAUCCUUUGGGUAAGUUUUUGAAUAUUUUGGACUUGGGUCUGAAGUGUUGCUGUUAUGGUUGAACUAAAAUUGUUUGAGUUCAGUGUUAGGGCCGCUACUUCUAGUUGUUAUAGUUUGGCCGUUGGAGCUUCAUUAUCCAUAAAGUUUCGAUUGAGGAAAAGGUAAAGAUAUACCGGUGAUGGCGCAACGAAAUUCGUGAUCGUGUCACUGGGACUAGACCUUUUCACUUCCGCAUCUUGAAAUUUGUUAUUUGGUUUUACUGUUUAAAAUUUAUUACUAAGGAUUAUUUCUUUUAUAUGCCUUUGAUUAGCCUUUAAAAAUUUUGGGUACCCUAUUAACUGUUUUAACAAUUGCAUUUAAUAAACGCCUUAUGAACUUCUCUUGU